Molecule: transfer RNA, 78 nt
Filed under: Rikenellaceae bacterium
Lineage: Bacteria; Pseudomonadati; Bacteroidota; Bacteroidia; Bacteroidales; Rikenellaceae
Description: tRNA-Pro
Rfam family: tRNA
About the family: Transfer RNA (tRNA) molecules are approximately 80 nucleotides in length. Their secondary structure includes four short double-helical elements and three loops (D, anti-codon, and T loops).
Source: RNAcentral
CGGGGUGUAGCGCAGUCCGGUUAGCGCAUCUGGUUUGGGACCAGAGGGUCCCAGGUUCGAAUCCUGGUACCCCGACAA